This 751-nucleotide long non-coding RNA is filed under the name Phoenix dactylifera (date palm). RNAcentral's name for it is "long non-coding RNA (PDAC_LNC012940)". Lineage: Eukaryota; Viridiplantae; Streptophyta; Magnoliopsida; Arecales; Arecaceae. The record is from RNAcentral.
AGAUACUAAAAAGUUGUUUAGAUUGGGUAUGGGUUAAAACAGGAAAAUUCAGCAUAAGGCUAUACUGCUAUAUACUAGCAUGUACUGAUGCGUAUUGAAACAACACAAACUGAUGCAAAGUCAAUAUGCAUUUAUACAGGUCAGCACACUUGAUAGAGGUGUGCACCCUUGUACCAGGUGGAUAAACUGUCAGCACAUAUAUGUUGUUGAUAUUGCAUGAAAGGGAAGGUGCUCUGAUUGUUUAUUACAUCAAUGUAUGGCUGCAAAAUCAGAUUGAAAAAGCAAUUAUAUAGUGAUUGACAUUUCAUCAGCCACAACUCGCAAACAUUUGUGGUUGGAGAGAAUUUUGAGAACUUGCUAGAAGACUUUCCGGUCUGUAGAUAAAUUAGUGGAUAUUCUUUGGACUUUCCAGGUAUUGGGUUAUGGUGUUUACAAAUGGUUACCUAAUUUUGCUGUCCUUAGGUACUGUUCAUCUUUGGAAUGAUUUUUUUCUUUUUUGGGGUCUAGGAUAGCCUCCUCAUUUAACUCUCGUUCUUUUCUGGAUACUAGACUACUCAAUUACUUUGUACACUGAGUGGUUGAUGAAAGGUUUCAGAAACUAUUGCCCCUUGGCUGGGCCCAUCAAAUUUAUGUUACAGGAAUUCUCUGUUUCCUUCAAAAAAUUCAGUGAAAAAUAGAAAAAAUAUUAGAGAUGGAAACAUGCCAAGGGGAAAAGUUGUAUUAUUUGGAAUGAUGGAAGCAUGCCAAGGGG